AGCGCAGACAGCAAUAAAACGUUCUGCUCAGCUGAAGUGGUCUUUAGUUUCUACAAACAGAUCACAGAGAGAUUUGUUUCUGCACGAUACAACGAUUUUCAAAAAUGAGGAGGAAUCACAAAGAGACACCUCAGCAUCAAGCUAUGCUGGGAUUAAGGAGUAGUAAAAUGGACAGAGCAAGAGAAGGAGUGGCGAUGACGUUCGCUCCAGAAUUGAGUAACAGGCCUACAAAUCAAGAUUUCUGCCAGGAAACUGCACGACCUGAGGAAGUUCUGGCACAUGGGAAAAAUAGUAUGCACUCUAUGGCAAAGCAGAACAUCCACGUAGUUAGCAUUAACAAAUCCAGAAAUAAAUUAGUCGACCCCGUAAAGAUUUUAGAAGGUAAACGAGCAGGUGCUGGUAAGAUAUGAAAUAUUGUCUUUUAUCAGAGCAAAUUACUUAUAAACCAACCAAUUUUAAUUUUCAAAGAGUACACACAAGGCUAAUUGCUUGUGUUGUGUCUAAUUGAAAGGACCUGCAGCAAAGAGCCCUGGGAAACCAAAACUUCUUCCCAGAAUGCCCAGAAUGGAUCCAAUUGUUCAUCCCCCAUUUAGAGCACUGAUGCGCAAGGAAACGUUAAGCGAAACAUAUGGCAAUCCUCAGGCACAUGGGGAAAAUAGCAUGUGCACUACGGCAAAGAAGAAUAUCCGCUUACGUGUCGCUAACACAACCAGAAAGAAAUCAGUCAAACCCAGAAAGACCAUAGAAGUAUUUGGACAAGCAGGUGCUGGACCUGCAGCAAAGAGCCCUGGGAAACCAAAACUUCUUCCUAGAAAGCCCAGAAUGGAUCCGAUUGGUCAUCCCUCAUUUAGAGCACUGAUGCGCAGGGAAAAGUUAAGCAAAACAUCCAGCAAUCCUCAGGUACUUACAGGUACUACAGAGGUAAAGAGUAAGUAUCUUGAGCCUACAAUUAAGGUAGAACCUCAAUUAAGAACUAACAUUACUGAUGCUGUCCUGGAUUGCAUAACCUCUGGAUCGUUCAAGAAUCAGCUCACUCUGCGCAUUGUGGGUGAAAUUGAUGAUAUACUAGCAAAAGCUGUGUCCCAGGUUCACAAGCAACAGCAUCCCGUGAGAUUCAGUGCAGCAGGGGAUAAGAUAAACAACAUCUCCCGGGAACAACAAUCAAGCAACAAUGUUUUCAUGCCUGGCUUCAGUGAUGGUGUGGCAUCUAUGAUUGGUUGUGCACUGAUAGAACUUAGAGAAGAUGUGAAAAAAACUUUUACAAGCCAGUCACACGAAUUUCAGACAGCCUCACCAACGGCAUGCGAUUCUACAACAGAAAUAGUGGAGAGUCUCUUUGAAAGUAUGCUUGAUUCCUUGAUUCCUCAACUGAAACCAGAUGUUAGCACUGAAAAGGAUCCUAGCACGAUUGAUUCUCUUUAUAGCUAUGAGUUUGAUACAGUGUCUGAUAGUAUCCUUCCCAGCACUGACUCAGAUGUCAACCAGAGUCCAGUCCAUGAGCCAAGAGGAGGUGCUGAUGACGAGUCUAGCAUCACAGCUCAGGACAUUGAGACAUUAGACAUUGUGAAAGAGAGAGCUGACUCCCCAAGAAGAUCUACCAAAGUCCCAUUCUCCACAGUAUUUGACCAGUCUUCUGGACCUGAAGUUAAGGCCAAAGAUGAGGUUGAGGGCAUCUUGGCUGCUUCUGGAAGCAUGAGCCCCCUUGAUGACCCUCUGACUUCAAGAGUCAAAUCUGACUCCUAUUUGGAUGCAAGCGUUCUUGAGGUCACUGCUACUUCUUCAACAGAAAAUGUUGACCACAUGUCAAGAUCUGAUGAAGUUGCAGAAGAAGGACUUUUGGCUAAAUCAGAUGUUGAGCUUGAGCAAAUCAUGGCUGCUCCUUCUGAGGAAAACACUCCUUCUGACAUUACAUCCCAAAGCCUUCACCAGGAAUGUACUAGCCCUGUCCCUUCACCACCUUCUAGUGAUAAGCCAACCUCCCCAAGAGGAUCUGCCAGGAGAAGGGCAUGUCCUGUAAAAGUCAGCUCUUUGCCAAACAUAUUCUCUGACAGAGGAGAUGGCAUCUUUGACCAGUCUCACCAAAAGUUAGAGAGUGUUGACAAGCGUAGACUUUCUCUGACUGGCAUGGAAAUGGGUUCUUCUGAAAACAGAAGCGGCCUUGAUGGGCCUCUGAGUUCAUCUGAAGCAUCUGAUGUUGAAGAAGCUGCAGCAAAAUCAGCUGGUUACAAAGCAGUACUCUGUUGAAAUUAUUCUGAUGUAUUAAAUUAGUGCAAAUAAAUGAACCAUCCAUUCAUUAUCUUUUUACACUGUUCUUUCUUGUUUCCAAAUUGUAGCCUCCCCAAGAAGAUUGUUGUGGGAAAUAAUCUUUCCAGCUUAACAAAAA
Long non-coding RNA from Ictalurus punctatus (channel catfish), 2383 nucleotides. The record is from Ensembl. NCBI's taxonomy places the organism in Eukaryota, Metazoa, Chordata, Actinopteri, Siluriformes, Ictaluridae.